GGGUUAGUAGGUUGGUCAUGCCUCUGGUAUGUACUGGUCUCACUGAUUCCUCCUUCCUGAUGAGCCGUAAUGCCAUUAAUUUGGUGUUGCGGGGAAUUUGGACUGUUACUUUGAAAAAAUUAGAGUGUUCAAAGCAAGCUAACGCUUGAAUACAUUAGCAUGGAAUAAUGAAAUAGGACCUCGGUUCUAUUUUGUUGGAUUUCGGAACUUGAGGUA
This 216-nucleotide ribosomal RNA is filed under the name Campeiostachys nutans. Its description in RNAcentral is "Elymus nutans partial small subunit ribosomal RNA". The stretch from base 40 to 216 matches the Rfam family "Eukaryotic small subunit ribosomal RNA", at positions 686 to 865 of the family's 1831-position model. Lineage: Eukaryota; Viridiplantae; Streptophyta; Magnoliopsida; Poales; Poaceae. The record is from RNAcentral.